UAGGGAAUUUUCCACAAUGGGCGAAAGCCUGAUGGAGCAACACCGCGUGCAGGAUGAAGGCCUUCGGGUUGUAAACUGCUUUUAUAUGUGACGAUUGUGACGGUAGCAUAUGAAUAAGGACCUGCUAACUACGUGCCAGCAGCCGCGGUCAUACGUGGGGUCCAAGCGUUAUCCGGAAUUACUGGGCGUAAAGAGUUGCGUAGGUGGCAGAGUAAGUUGGUAGUGAAAUCCUGGGGCUCAACCCUUUAAACAUUAUCAAAACUGCUCAGCUAGAAGAUGAGAGAGGUCACUGGAAUUACUAGUGUAGGAGUGAAAUCCGUAGAUAUUAGUAGGAACACCGAUGGCGUAGGCAGGUGACUGGCUCAUUCUUGACACUAAGGCACGAAAGCGUGGGGAGCGAACUGGAUUAGAUACCCCUGUAGUCC
This 425-nucleotide ribosomal RNA is filed under the name uncultured bacterium. Its description in RNAcentral is "bacterial SSU rRNA". It matches the Rfam family "Bacterial small subunit ribosomal RNA", at positions 355 to 796 of the family's 1533-position model. The record is from RNAcentral.